GGAGGGAUCAUUACCGAGUUUACAACUCCCAAACCCCUGUGAACAUACCUUUAAUGUUGCCUCGGCGGAUCAGCCCGCGCCCCGUAAAACGGGACGGCCCGCCAGAGGACCCAAACUCUAAUGUUUCUUAUUGUAACUUCUGAGUAAAACAAACAAAUAAAUCAAAACUUUCAACAACGGAUCUCUUGGUUCUGGCAUCGAUGAAGAACGCAGCAAAAUGCGAUAAGUAAUGUGAAUUGCAGAAUUCAGUGAAUCAUCGAAUCUUUGAACGCACAUUGCGCCCGCUGGUAUUCCGGCGGGCAUGCCUGUUCGAGCGUCAUUUCAACCCUCAAGCCCCCGGGUUUGGUGUUGGGGAUCGGCUCUGCCCUUCUGGGCGGUGCCGCCCCCGAAAUACAUUGGCGGUCUCGCUGCAGCCUCCAUUGCGUAGUAGCUAACACCUCGCAACUGGAACGCGGCGCGGCCAUGCCGUAAAACCCCAACUUCUGAAUGUUGACCUCGGAUCAGGUAGGAAUACCCGCUGAACUUAAGCAUAUC
This 534-nucleotide ribosomal RNA is filed under the name Nectriaceae sp. BOP212a. Its description in RNAcentral is "eukaryotic LSU rRNA". The stretch from base 166 to 319 matches the Rfam family "5.8S ribosomal RNA". The record is from RNAcentral. Lineage: Eukaryota; Fungi; Ascomycota; Sordariomycetes; Hypocreales; Nectriaceae.